UACGUAGGGUGCAAGCGUUGUCCGGAAUUAUUGGGCGUAAAGAGCUUGUAGGCGGUUUGUCGCGUCUGCUGUGAAAUCUCAAGGCUCAACCUUGAGCUUGCAGUGGGUACGGGCAGACUAGAGUGUGGUAGGGGAGACUGGAAUUCCUGGUGUAGCGGUGAAAUGCGCAGAUAUCAGGAGGAACACCGAUGGCGAAGGCAGGUCUCUGGGCCACUACUGACGCUGAGAAGCGAAAGCAUGGGGAGCGAACAGG
RNAcentral lists this ribosomal RNA (253 nucleotides) under uncultured bacterium. RNAcentral's name for it is "partial 16S ribosomal RNA". It matches the Rfam family "Bacterial small subunit ribosomal RNA", at positions 524 to 776 of the family's 1533-position model. The record is from RNAcentral.